This 74-nucleotide transfer RNA is filed under the name Clostridia bacterium. RNAcentral's name for it is "tRNA-Arg". It matches the Rfam family "tRNA". Rfam says of the family: Transfer RNA (tRNA) molecules are approximately 80 nucleotides in length. The record is from RNAcentral. Lineage: Bacteria; Bacillati; Bacillota; Clostridia.
GGGCCAGUAGCUCAGCUGGACAGAGUGGCAGACUUCGAAUCUGCAGGCCGGGGGUUCGAGCCCCUCCUGGCUCA